UGACUCUGCCAGAGUCAGUGGAAAUCAUGCUAGUAACCACAGAAAGCACCAGCAGCUGAUCUGCGGCACAGAAUACACCAGCGUGCCGGGAUGAGAGAACAGUGUUUCUAUAGGAUACCUGCAAACGGUUUUCUCAGAACCCAAAUAUCCUCCGGAGGGGCCACAGAAGUGUGGCCCGGAGACAUAUGAGAUGGGCUGGAGUCUGAUCCUCGGGAACCUUCAUAAACAGGGAGACCAGAGCUAGAAGAGGAGGAUAAACCGCCGGCCACAGAGAACUCACAAAAAGGAAAAGCAGCAUCCCCAGUAUGGAAGAUAUAAGGAUACUUACAUCCAGAAGAAGUCUCACCACCUCCGUUUUCCCGCACAGGGCUGCUUCGUGCAGAGCUGUUCCAGAUUUGGUUUGCCGAUUGAUGUCUAUGCCAGCUUGCAGCAAAAGCCUGACCAGGAGAGACAGAAUGACAGAACUAUUUGUAAAACCACAAUGAAUUCCAGCAGUGAGGCUUUUAUGGAAGUCCACCAGGCAGCCUGGCCAACACGCAGUGUAAGAAACUCAGAUGCUCAAUACGCUGGAUAUCAAACAAUACCAAGAAGUCUAAGCCGACAAUUUACCUAUAUACUAGGUUUAUCCAGGUUGUACCAAAGACCAUGACAGAACCGGAGGAAGACAUCAGCCGUAAGGAAACUCACACAUAGCAUUAACAGCAUCAUCAUUCUUAUAGGUCCUUGUACUAGUGCUGGUAGCGGCGCCUGCGCCAGCAGCACCAGCGACAACAGCAAGGUGUUGGGUUCGGAAAAUGCACAUCACCUUAGGGUAUACAAGAACUAAUGUCUGCAGCUCCUCCUCUAGAAGCAACCAGUUCCGAAAGAUGAAACGCAGCACUUACGGCUUAUGCGUACAUUAGCGAUGAACUUUUUUUUUUGGGCCAUAAGGUUAAAACAGGGGAUAGCAAUAAGCGGCCCUCCAGCUAUUGUAGAACGACUCGUCCCAGCAUGCCAAAUAGCAAAACUGUGGCAGGGCAUGUGGGAUGGAUAACAGCCGGAGGGCCACUUAUUGCCCACCCCUGGGCUAAAAGCGUACAACUGAUAUUGAUCUUGUGCGCCAGAGGAACUAUCGGUUGUGGCUCAUUGGCAAGUGGCUAACACAGAUCUAUAUUUAUCAUAGUGAGUAUUGUCCUGUCCUUGUUAUUAGUGAUAUUUCAUAAUUAUCACUGGUUCCUAAUGAUUAUUUGUGCGAAAUUGGUUGGACCCCCACUGGUCACUGCUCCAGAGCCUUCUUCCGACACGUCCUUUUGCUUGAUCUACUGAAUAUUAAUUUUACAUGCCAAAAAUAAAAAGUGUGGUAAUAACGCAGAUUCAAAA
This is a long non-coding RNA of Pseudophryne corroboree (corroboree frog), 1359 nucleotides long. RefSeq lists it as uncharacterized. The record is from RefSeq and is a predicted model, not a curated record. NCBI's taxonomy places the organism in Eukaryota, Metazoa, Chordata, Amphibia, Anura, Myobatrachidae. The transcript is spliced from 5 exons.